This is a long non-coding RNA of Sapajus apella (tufted capuchin), 222 nucleotides long. RefSeq lists it as uncharacterized. NCBI's taxonomy places the organism in Eukaryota, Metazoa, Chordata, Mammalia, Primates, Cebidae. The record is from RefSeq and is a predicted model, not a curated record. The transcript has 2 exons.
AAUAUUCUUUGUCAUAAAAGGAACAAAACAUUGAAAAAGUGCCAUUAGAAUGCUGAUACUAUGUAUCGUGUAAUUAGAGUAGUCUUUAAAAAGGUUGUAAAUAAUGCAUAUCAUUGCAUUCUACGUAAUGGUUCUGAGAGGGGAGAUGCCCUCGCCUCCUUCUGUUUCCUGAUCUCCACCUCCUCCCUCCCUUCCCCUUCAAAUGGGAAGGAGGGUGAAGAA